GAUGAACGCUGGCGGCGUGCUUAACACAUGCAAGUCGAACGGAAAGGCCCUAGUUUGCUUGGGUACUCGAGUGGCGAACGGGUGAGUAACACGUGGGUGAUCUGCCCUGCACUUCGGGAUAAGCCUGGGAAACUGGGUCUAAUACCGGAUAGGACCACAUGUUGGAUGGUGUGGGGGAAAGUUUUUCGGUGUGGGGUGAGCUCGCGGCCUAUCAGCAUGUUGGUGGGGUAUUGGUCUCCAAAGAGGUCGACGGGUGGCCGGCGUGAGAGGGUGUACGGCGACAUUGUGGGUGUGAGACAGCGCAGACACUUACAGGGGGCAGCAGUGUGGGGUAUUGCACAAAAUGGGCGAAACUGAGACGGCGAGACGGCGUGUGGGAUGUGGGGGUCCGGGGUGUGGACACCGUUCUCGAGUGACAAGGCGCGUGUGUGACGGUACCUGGAAAAGAAGCACCGGCUAACUACGUG
RNAcentral lists this ribosomal RNA (467 nucleotides) under uncultured bacterium. Its description in RNAcentral is "partial 16S ribosomal RNA". It matches the Rfam family "Bacterial small subunit ribosomal RNA", at positions 28 to 507 of the family's 1533-position model. The record is from RNAcentral.